Molecule: long non-coding RNA, 190 nt
Organism: Anopheles nili
Lineage: Eukaryota; Metazoa; Arthropoda; Insecta; Diptera; Culicidae
Exons: 3
Source: RefSeq, a predicted model, not a curated record
CAGCUGUAUAUUUGAAAUUAUAGUGAACAUCAUUAUGGAAUAUUCACCAGCUAUGAAUAACAUAUGUGGUCCUAGAUUUGCCGCAUGUGAGAACGUACGUAGAUAAAAGAUGUUACAAGCUGGCAGUAAUAAACGAUUCAGCUGUACAUUUGAAAUUAUAGUGAACAUCAUUAUGGAAUAUUCACCAGCU